RNAcentral lists this ribosomal RNA (274 nucleotides) under uncultured bacterium. RNAcentral describes it as "partial 16S ribosomal RNA". It matches the Rfam family "Archaeal small subunit ribosomal RNA", at positions 473 to 747 of the family's 1478-position model. The record is from RNAcentral.
AAACCAGCACCUCAAGUGGUCAGGAUGAUUAUUGGGCCUAAAGCAUCCGUAGCCGGCUCUGUAAGUGUUCGGUUAAAUCUGUACGCUUAACGUACAGGCUGCUGGGAAUACUGCAGAGCUAGGGAGUGGGAGAGGUAGACGGUACUCGGGAGGAAGUGGUAAAAUGCUUUGAUCUCUCGAUGACCACCUGUGGCGAAGGCGGUCUACCAGAACACGUCCGACGGUGAGGGAUGAAAGCUGGGGGAGCAAACCGGAUUAGAAACCCUAGUAGUCC